UCACACCUUUGUAGAGCUUCCAAAAGUUAAAUUUGUCCAAGAUUAAAGUUUGAUGAAGCAUGUGACACAUUUACAUCUUGUUGUUUACACUGUACAAAGCAUCCAUUAAAGCAGAAAUCGAAAGAGCAAAAACAAAAGAAAAUAAAAAUAAACAAGUG
Hibiscus syriacus is the source of this 158-nucleotide long non-coding RNA. RefSeq lists it as uncharacterized. The transcript is spliced from 3 exons. NCBI's taxonomy places the organism in Eukaryota, Viridiplantae, Streptophyta, Magnoliopsida, Malvales, Malvaceae. The record is from RefSeq and is a predicted model, not a curated record.